UAUGCAUCUUGUGGUAAAUGGAAAGAUGCUGCUGAGAUAAGAAUACUGAUGAAAGGAGCUAGCCUUAAGAAAGAUGGUGGGUACAGCUGGUUACAAUUGAAGGGACAAUAUCAUGCCUUCUUUUCUUGGCAUUUGAUAUUUUCCAAAAAGAAGAAUGAAAAUGAGAGGAUAGUAUAACGCAGCAGCAAUUGGAACUUCAGAACUCCGAGAGUCGAGUAAAUUGAGCUAAUGUCUCCAGAAUGGUCCUAUACAAUGGAUCAAUCUCGGUUGUCAAAUAUUUCAGGGACAACAUACUGGAUGGCACUGUUUUUUUCACCCUCCUUUUCGGGAGCGAGCUGUUCGAGGACUACAUUGGUCAUCUUGCAAUGGCAACAAUGGCCUCCACUGAGAUGACAACCGACAACGACAACCCCUAAAAGCUUCAGGACAGGCUCAAGAAUGUACAAAGGGAAAGAGAGGAAAAGCUAGCUAGAUUCCUCAAGGAAUUCCUCUCCCAAUAUGUUCGUGGUGACAAAGAAGGAUUCGCUAAUCGUGUGGAAGCUGAGGCGAAGAGACUCUCCAGCACUUGUCAAUCUUCUGAUCCUAUUAAACCAUUUGUACUUUUAUGUUGUCUAGCAUUCAACUCACUGUGAAAAAAUGUCCAUUUGCAGCAUCUGGACUGGAUAUUCUUCGCACCAUCGGAUAUAUGUAUUCUUGACAUGCAGCAAAGGAGCUAACAUCAAAUGGUGUGUGGACAGGAAAUAAACAUUAACAACAGCAAAAGAAGCCACAUUCAGAAUAUAGUUUAUGUAAAAGAUGAAUUGUUUGUAGAUAAAAAUCCCAUCAUACAGAAACUAAGUAAUAUGAAAGCUCCCUUGAUAACACGCUACAUUGGUUAAGCUAGAUCCCACAAUGCAUAUACUACCAGCGUAUAUAAGAGGUGGUCCUGAAAAUUUGACAACUUUGUAGUUCUGAAUGGACAAGCAUGAUUUGCGCUUUCUGAUCCAAAAAGCUUCGCACCAUCGGAUAUGUGUAUUCUUGACAUGCAGCAAAGGAGCUUGGCAAGAAGGCCAUGUACCUAGGAGUGCCAUUCGUGGCUGAGUGGGUCAGGAACAAGGGGCACCUAUGGAAGUCACAGAUCACAGCAGCAAAAGGAGCCCUGCAACUUUUGCAGUUGCAAGAGGACGCCUGCCG
Long non-coding RNA from Panicum virgatum (switchgrass), 1173 nucleotides. RefSeq lists it as uncharacterized. The transcript has 3 exons. The record is from RefSeq and is a predicted model, not a curated record. NCBI's taxonomy places the organism in Eukaryota, Viridiplantae, Streptophyta, Magnoliopsida, Poales, Poaceae.